Long non-coding RNA from Limulus polyphemus (Atlantic horseshoe crab), 429 nucleotides. RefSeq lists it as uncharacterized. The transcript is spliced from 3 exons. The record is from RefSeq and is a predicted model, not a curated record. Lineage: Eukaryota; Metazoa; Arthropoda; Merostomata; Xiphosura; Limulidae.
UUUUAUUUACCAAGCUCAUGUCAGAACGAACAAGUCUAGAGAACCUUAAAGGGUUAUAUUUACCAAGCUCAUGUCAGAAAGAACAAGCAUAGAGGACUUUAUCCGUGUGCUUCGCUUAAAUGGACUGACUUAUAUUGUCAUAUGUGAAUUUUUUAUGUUACUCUACUAACAGAGUGUGUGUGUGUAAAAGAUACUGCUCCUCAUUGGUUCAGCGUGCUGACGAGGCCUUUCGCCGAAUACUAGAACUCAUCAGAUCGGCUGGGAUACGACAGACUAAGUAUUGGUCUAGGAGCUACUAUAUUUUCACUUUUCAUGAUUAAUGUCCACCACGGGGAUCAAAUCUCGGAUUUAAGCAUUGUAAGUCCGUAACCCGCUGUCCCAUCGGGGGACUUUUGUACAGUGAAUAAAGAUCCUGAUGUAAGUGUGAUA